CUCUUAUCAAGAGAGGUGGAGGGACUGAGCCCUGUGAAACCCGGCAACCGUCAACUUUUAUGUUGAAAUGGUGCCAAUUCCUGCAAAGCGAAUGCUUUGAAAGAUGAGAG
This 110-nucleotide non-coding RNA is filed under the name Bacillus gaemokensis. RNAcentral's name for it is "SAM-I sequence". It matches the Rfam family "SAM riboswitch aptamer (S box leader)". From Rfam's summary of the family: The SAM riboswitch is found upstream of a number of genes which code for proteins involved in methionine or cysteine biosynthesis in Gram-positive bacteria. The record is from RNAcentral. Lineage: Bacteria; Bacillati; Bacillota; Bacilli; Caryophanales; Bacillaceae.